Coffea arabica (coffee) is the source of this 975-nucleotide non-coding RNA. The record is from RefSeq and is a predicted model, not a curated record. Lineage: Eukaryota; Viridiplantae; Streptophyta; Magnoliopsida; Gentianales; Rubiaceae.
UGCAUGGGGUAAUUGGGUUGCCCAUGGGUUUUCUGCUUUGGAAUUAAUUGCCGUACCAGUUCCUUUCCAUUUCCGGCUCUCACAGCUGCAUUGUUCAGAGCUGACAGCAGAGCUUUCUCAUGGGUUAGAUAAAGAGAACAACAAAUGCUUCUCCGCCGCUUCUCCUCUCCGUCACUUUUCUCACCAAAAUUAUACGACCAAAAUCUUCAGCAGUGCUUCGUUUGGCGAUGGCAAUUGAAGAAGCCGGUAUUGAAAUCUUCCGGAGUGUGUUGUGGGCAUCAUUUCUAGCUCAAAGUUUGAGAUUUUUGGUUGACCUUUGCAUAGAUUUUGGAUCGAGUGAUUUUUUGGAUGUUGUUGUUCUUCAUCUUUAAAAAAAAUCUACAGGAAACUGUUAUCAACAUAAUCCAGGUUUAUUCCUUGUAAGAGUUUCCACUCGGGCAAAUGUUUGCAAUCAGCAAAUAGGCAAACUCUCGUCCUUUAUUGCCUCCAAAAACCACGACCUCUCAUUCUUGGAGACCUUAUAUUGUGCAUGGUACUGUUUUGGGUGGAGUUGAUGGGCUGGCAUUUUUUCUUCACUACAAUGACGAGAAGAGGACCAUCAUUAAAGAUUUUAUUACUUCGACGUUGUAAUCACUUCGAAGUCUGAAACUGAAGUUCUUCUCCUGCAUUUUAUGUAAUACGUGCCAAAGGAUUUGUAUAGCUCCCUAGGUGUUAGUAUUGCAAUUGUAACUGUUGACCAAAAAAGGUAUACAUUUGUUUGUGUAUGAAAGAGAGAGACAGAUAGAGUAUGUGUGUGUGUGUGAGAGAGAGAGAGAGGGACAAAUUGUGUAUGUUCUAUCUCUCUCUGUCUCUCACUAUUGGUUGUUUACUCAUCUUUGCAUGGCGUACAACACAUUCACACACACUCUCUCUCAUAGUUUAUCUCUUCUAUUUCCAUAGUUGCAUAAUCACAAUAUUCGAACUCGAUUUGACCCA